RNAcentral lists this ribosomal RNA (497 nucleotides) under uncultured bacterium. Its description in RNAcentral is "partial 16S ribosomal RNA". It matches the Rfam family "Bacterial small subunit ribosomal RNA", at positions 28 to 507 of the family's 1533-position model. The record is from RNAcentral.
GAUGAACGCUGGCGGCGUGCCUAAUACAUGCAAGUCGAGCGAACAGACGAGGAGCUUGCUCCUUCGACGUUAGCGGCGGACGGGUGAGUAACACGUAGGUAACCUACCUAUAAGACUGGGAUAACUUCGGGAAACCGGAGCUAAUACCGGAUAAUAUUUCGAACCGCAUGGUUCGAUAGUGAAAGAUGGCUUUGCUAUCACUUAUAGAUGGACCUGCGCCGUAUUAGCUAGUUGGUAAGGUAACGGCUUACCAAGGCAACGAUACGUAGCCGACCUGAGAGGGUGAUCGGCCACACUGGAACUGAGACACGGUCCAGACUCCUACGGGAGGCAGCAGUAGGGAAUCUUCCGCAAUGGGCGAAAGCCUGACGGAGCAACGCCGCGUGAGUGAUGAAGGUCUUCGGAUCGUAAAACUCUGUUAUUAGGGAAGAACAAACGUGUAAGUAACUAUGCACGUCUUGACGGUACCUAAUCAGAAAGCCACGGCUAACUACGUG